This is a long non-coding RNA of Amphiprion ocellaris (clown anemonefish), 633 nucleotides long. RefSeq lists it as uncharacterized. The transcript has 2 exons. NCBI's taxonomy places the organism in Eukaryota, Metazoa, Chordata, Actinopteri, Pomacentridae. The record is from RefSeq and is a predicted model, not a curated record.
UUCAAAAUUCGCCAUCAAAAAAUUCAAUGUUAAAAAAUUCGCUGUCAAAAAAUUCGCUGUUCACAUCCGGGGGACUCAGGCGUAAACAAUCGAUCCUGGCCAAAAUCGAACCAACGCCCAGCCAAUCACGUGGCGCUCCUCCGGUCAUGUGACGCAGACGGUUCACCUCACAAGACCGGGGUCAACCACGGUUACCAGCAUGAACGACGGCGCUUCACAACACCGUCUGAACUGACCAGUCUGGUGAAAUUCUGGACUGGAUGGGAGACUCUACCAAGAACUCUCUCCACAGAAGUAGUGAAUGGCAGAUACCUGACAGCCUCCACCUGCUAUGAGACCUUACAUUCCCAGGACAUUACAAGGACUACACAUCAUUUAAGACUGACAUCCUGGCCUGUAUUUGCACUUGCCAGUCAAGAUAUGUUAGGUGUUGUUCUCUAGUUAGUUUUACUUGACUGACAAAACUAAGUGCACUUUUGGAUUCCCUCCCCUACCUGUUCUCCCAACUCACCUGACAGGUUAUCUGGCUCAAGUAUGCGUGUUUCUGCCAUACAUUUAAAGUAUCUGAAGUUAAGAAUAUUUCUGGUGAACAAUACAUGCAAUCACGGCAUUAAAGCAGGAGUUAAAAAUGAA